This 580-nucleotide ribosomal RNA is filed under the name uncultured bacterium. Its description in RNAcentral is "bacterial SSU rRNA". It matches the Rfam family "Bacterial small subunit ribosomal RNA", at positions 338 to 917 of the family's 1533-position model. The record is from RNAcentral.
CCUACGGGAGGCAGCAGUGAGGAAUAUUGGUCAAUGGAGGCAACUCUGAACCAGCCAUGCCGCGUGCAGGAAGACUGCCCUAUGGGUUGUAAACUGCUUUUAUACAGGAAGAAACUUACCCACGUGUGGGUAACUGACGGUACUGUACGAAUAAGGACCGGCUAACUCCGUGCCAGCAGCCGCGGUAAUACGGAGGGUCCAAGCGUUAUCCGGAAUCAUUGGGUUUAAAGGGUCCGUAGGCGGGCGAUUAAGUCAGAGGUGAAAUCCCACAGCUCAACUGUGGAACUGCCUUUGAUACUGGUUGUCUUGAGUUACAGUGAAGUAGAUAGAAUAUGUAGUGUAGCGGUGAAAUGCAUAGAUAUUACAUAGAAUACCGAUUGCGAAGGCAGUCUACUAACUGUUAACUGACGCUGAGGGACGAAAGCGUGGGGAGCGAACAGGAUUAGAUACCCUGGUAGUCCACGCCGUAAACGAUGGUCACUAGUUGUUGGGGCUUUAUGCUUCAGUGAUUAAGCGAAAGUGAUAAGUGACCCACCUGGGGAGUACGAUCGCAAGAUUGAAACUCAAAUGAAUUGACGGA